AUUGAACGCUGGCGGCAUGCCUUACACAUGCAAGUCGAACGGUAAGGCCCUUCGGGGUACACGAGUGGCGAACGGGUGAGUAACACGUGGGUGAUCUGCCCUGCACUUCGGGAUAAGCGUGGGAAACUGGGUCUAAUACCGGAUAGGACCACUGCCUGCAUGGGUGGUGGUGGAAAGCUUUUGCGGUGUGGGAUGGGCCCGCGGCCUAUCAGCUUGUUGGUGGGGUGAUGGCCUACUAAGGCGACGACGGGUAGCCGGCCUGAGAGGGUGACCGGCCACACUGGGACUGAGAUACGGCCCAGACUCCUACGGGAGGCAGCAGUGGGGAAUAUUGCACAAUGGGCGCAAGCCUGAUGCAGCGACGCCGCGUGAGGGAUGACGGCCUUCGGGUUGUAAACCUCUUUCAGCACCGACGAAGCGCAAGUGACGGUAGGUGCAGAAGAAGGACCGGCCAACUACGUGCCAGCAGCCGCCGUAA
This 478-nucleotide ribosomal RNA is filed under the name uncultured bacterium. RNAcentral describes it as "partial 16S ribosomal RNA". It matches the Rfam family "Bacterial small subunit ribosomal RNA", at positions 28 to 523 of the family's 1533-position model. The record is from RNAcentral.